GUGGGGAAUCUUGCGCAAUGGGCGAAAGCCUGACGCAGCCAUGCCGCGUGAAUGAUGAAGGUCUUAGGAUUGUAAAAUUCUUUCACCGGGGACGAUAAUGACGGUACCCGGAGAAGAAGCUCCGGCUAACUUCGUGCCAGCAGCCGCGGUAAUACGAAGGGGGCUAGCGUUGCUCGGAAUUACUGGGCGUAAAGGGCGCGUAGGCGGACAGCUUAGUCAGAGGUGAAAGCCCAGGGCUCAACCUUGGAAUUGCCUUUGAUACUGGCUGUCUUGAGUUUGGGAGAGGUGAGUGGAACUCCGAGUGUAGAGGUGAAAUGCGUAGAUAUUCGGAAGAACACCAGUGGCGAAGGCGACUCACUGGCCCAAUACUGACGCUGAGGCGCGAAAGCGUGGGGAGCAAACAGGAUUAGAAACCCGGGUAGUCC
This 425-nucleotide ribosomal RNA is filed under the name uncultured bacterium. RNAcentral describes it as "partial 16S ribosomal RNA". It matches the Rfam family "Bacterial small subunit ribosomal RNA", at positions 354 to 796 of the family's 1533-position model. The record is from RNAcentral.